GUUAGUACAACUUUGAACAUCGCCCUUAUUUUUGAAGAUAGGUACUAAUAUACUUCUCCUCAAAAAUGGAUCAACACAUGCAUGAAAAAAAAAUUCUGCUUCUUGCCCCAGCUGUUACAUUGCCACUGCUUUACCCACUUCAGGUCUCUAUCUCCAGAUAUGGAAUACCUGCUUUUCCUAUGAUUAGUAAAAUUCAUCCAUCUAUGCCUGCCCAAACUAUGUUUGACAUCAUACUGACAAGUCUCUGUUCUUUGCCUGCAACACACUGGGGUAUAUAUCCGCUCGGGCUUAUUUGGAGGCACUACAGAUGCAUGUAUUUUAGUGGUGCCCUUUGUGUUGUUUCCUCCUGUUGAGAUUCGGCAAGCACUUCCUUCUUGGCUAAAUCAUCUUGCUCUCCCCCCCACUGUGGUUGGACUGACAACCUUUUAGGAAGAUAAACAAAUAUCGUGCUCUAUAUGUAUUCCUUUUACAUUUCCUUGCUGCAGUGGAGCUGAUCUAUGCGGACGGAAGCGUAGAUUUCUGAUGCUUCACCUACUCAGUCAGCAUUUGCCAAUAUGUAUUUCCUUGCUGCAGCAACACGUACUCAUCAACCAGGUGCUUAAUUAGACGUAAACUACAUCUCCAUGAAUCAAGCCAAGUAGUACUUUCUUUUUAAUAUUCACAGACAUUGCUCACUGUCCUUGCUCCUUUGUUAAGAGAUAUGGACCUUUGGUGUAUAGGUUCCUGCUAAUAUUGAGAGGAGAGAUCCAAAUGUUUCUUCA
Molecule: long non-coding RNA, 761 nt
Organism: Panicum virgatum (switchgrass)
Lineage: Eukaryota; Viridiplantae; Streptophyta; Magnoliopsida; Poales; Poaceae
Exons: 2
Source: RefSeq, a predicted model, not a curated record